Molecule: transfer RNA, 75 nt
Filed under: Nanobdellota archaeon
Lineage: Archaea; Nanobdellati; Nanobdellota
Description: tRNA-Asp
Rfam family: tRNA
About the family: Transfer RNA (tRNA) molecules are approximately 80 nucleotides in length.
Source: RNAcentral
GGAGUGGUAGCUUAGCGGUAAAGUACCUGCCUGUCACGUAGGUAGACGUGAGUUCAAAUCUCAUCCACUUCGCCA